Long non-coding RNA from Branchiostoma belcheri (Belcher's lancelet), 2238 nucleotides. RefSeq lists it as uncharacterized. Lineage: Eukaryota; Metazoa; Chordata; Leptocardii; Amphioxiformes; Branchiostomatidae. The record is from RefSeq and is a predicted model, not a curated record. The transcript is spliced from 3 exons.
UCGUUUUUUGGACAUUCUGAGUUCGCACUCGGUGUGGAAGGAGCUGAGCAAGGAUUUAACCCCUAGAGGAGAGUACAGAAACCGGAUCGAACAUGUCUGCCCGCCAUCUAUUCGCUUUUUGCGUGGUUUUCGCGCUUUUUGUGAUGUACGCGACAGCGCAAAACACAACAGCGGCUGCUCCUAGUGGGAAUGCCACUUCACCGGUUACCUCAGCGCCUGGCAACAUGACCACCACACCCUCUCCUAGUGGAACGACAGCCACAGUCUCCAGCCUGGUAACUGUUGCUGUGGUAACUGCUGUUGCUGCCAUGCUAUCCUAAGCCAAAGAUGUCACCGGAGCACAACCAUUCCACAAACCACCUGCAACUUAGCAGCCAGCCAGCUGCAACUUUCCACAAACCACCUGCAACCAGUCAGCUGCAACUUUCUCCAAACCACCUGCACUAUAGCAACCGGACUGCUGCAACCUAGCUUUCAUCAACCACCUGCAACCUAGCAACUGCAACUUUACCUAGCAACAAGACAGCCACAACUUUCCAUAAACCACCUGCGUUCUGCAACCUAGCAACCAGACAGUCGCUACUUUCCACAGAACACCUGCAACCUAGCAACGAGGCAGCUGCAACUUUCCACAAACCACCUGCAACUCAGUAACAGUAACUUUCCACAAGCCCACCACAACAGUUGAACUUUUCACACACCACGGUCACUGCAACCUAGCAAAGGGUAGCCACAACUUGCCACAACCAGAAAACCAGAACUUUUCACUGCUUUAACAGAGCCAGGAUGUUGAUUCACUUGGCAGUUUUGUUAUCUUGCAUUGGCCAUUGCAGAUUCUAGGACAGAUAUGAAAACAAAAUUCCAUGAUGACCCUGUACUGUGUUCUGUCAGCAUUUUAGUUUCAGGACAAAUACAGCACCAUUCCAUCAGUUACAUUCUCAUGGCUUACAACAGAUUUGCAUUCCAAUGAGUGUUUUAAGUUGAUAACAAAGAAUUACCUAUUAAAAUAAUGUGGUGAUAUAUAUUGGCAGUGUACUUAACGUUUUAGGCCAUAUCUGUGACAAUGGAGCACCUUUCAUUGCUCUAACACUGUAAUUAUUGUUUCAUUGGUGGUUUUGUUAUCCUGUACUUCUAGCAGUUACUCUCAUCUCUUAGUUUGUUCAGUGGAUUGGAUGAUUAAGAUGUUCCUCGGUUCAGCCAACAGCUGUAUUUCCAUAGCCGUGUUGAUGUGAAUGUUUUAUUGUUGUUGAAGACAUUUUAUCUUUAGAGGUAAGAUUUUACCUGGGGAAUGAUGUGCCUAUGGAUGCCUAGAUAGCCACUGCUUGCUAAUAAAACAAAGAUGCAUCAAUUUCCAUGGAAAACAGGGCCUUUUGUAGCUUAGAAUCACUUAAAAGCGGACCUUUUUGACUCUUCAGUGUUAGAGCCAUCCAACACCAAGAUGCUUGAUUGGUUAUUGGAGCCAGAAUUUUAUUGGUUGCUGAAGCUAUGCUUUCAUUGGUUGCUGAAGCAAGGAUUCUGAUUCACUGUUGAAGCCAAGCUGUGAUUGGUCAUUACAAAAUUGUGGUCUGUGAUAGGCUGUGACCAACAUUGAGUGCUCAAAAAAGUAAAAGGAACACCGAGAUUAGAACUGAUGCAAAAGCCCUGGUUUCCAUGGCGAUAGAGAUGCGAGAUGGUAAAGAAAAAAAAGCUAUUUUUGCAAGCAACUUGCUAUCAUGUGACAGGCUGGGCGAUGGAGGUGCAUGACUAACUUGAUUUGGUGACGGUUAGGAAAGCCUUGGUCCCAGCCUUGAUUUUUGCUAACAUAGCUUCUAGUUUCAUACAGAAUGAGAGGAAUUUGGCAGAUUGAUAUAUGACAAGUACAUGUCAAAAGUUUCACGUUGUUUUGCACCUAGUAGCUGCAGAGAAAGUCAACACUAGCCCCUCAAGUAGAUGAUUUGGACUAACCUAAAAAUUACUAAAGCCAAAAAUUGAGAAAAUAUAACCUGGAUAUUAAGACACCUGUACCCAUAUCAGCCUAUGAGGUGUUUGACUCUUGUAAUCUGUUGUGAAAGUUUCCCAACAAGCCUGCUAACCAGGCUACAGUUGAUGCAGGUAUUUAGAAGUCUUGUUUCUCUAAAUCAUCUGCUCGGGGGUUGAUUUUCUGUGUGUUUGUAAUCUUUUGUGGUUAAUGAGUGGACAACAUUUUGCUUGUGUAAAAUUUAUCAUGUGUAUCUUGCAAUAAAAGUUCCGUUUCCCACA